GGGCUUGUGGCUCAGUGGUAGAGCGCCCGCUUUGCAUCAAGACAGGUCACUUGUGAUCCAUCGAGUAUCAAAUUGCGGGAGGUCCAGGUUUCGAUCACCUGCCAGUCCA
Molecule: non-coding RNA, 109 nt
Organism: Ascochyta clinopodiicola
Lineage: Eukaryota; Fungi; Ascomycota; Dothideomycetes; Pleosporales; Didymellaceae
Source: the annotation of a GenBank genome assembly